This 357-nucleotide ribosomal RNA is filed under the name uncultured bacterium. Its description in RNAcentral is "bacterial SSU rRNA". It matches the Rfam family "Bacterial small subunit ribosomal RNA", at positions 471 to 827 of the family's 1533-position model. The record is from RNAcentral.
GACGGUACCUGAAGAAUAAGCACCGGCUAACUACGUGCCAGCAGCCGCGGUAAUACGUAGGGUGCAAGCGUUAAUCGGAAUUACUGGGCGUAAAGCGUGCGCAGGCGGUUAUGUAAGACAGAUGUGAAAUCCCCGGGCUCAACCUGGGAACUGCCUUUGUGACUGCAUNGCUNGAGUGCGGCAGAGGGGGAUGGAAUUCCGCGUGUAGCAGUGAAAUGCGUAGAUAUGCGGAGGAACACCGAUGGCGAAGGCAAUCCCCUGGGCCUGCACUGACGCUCAUGCACGAAAGCGUGGGGAGCAAACAGGAUUAGAUACCCUGGUAGUCCACGCCCUAAACGAUGUCAACUGGUUGUUGGG